This 253-nucleotide ribosomal RNA is filed under the name uncultured bacterium. RNAcentral's name for it is "partial 16S ribosomal RNA". It matches the Rfam family "Bacterial small subunit ribosomal RNA", at positions 524 to 776 of the family's 1533-position model. The record is from RNAcentral.
UACAGAGGUUUCAAGCGUUGUUCGGAUUCAUUGGGCGUAAAGGGUGUGUAGGCGGCGCGCUAAGUCGGGUGUGAAAUUUCGGAGCUUAACCCCGAAACUGCAUUCGAUACUGGCGUGCUUGAGGACUGGAGAGGAGACUGGAAUUCAUGGUGUAGCAGUGAAAUGCGUAGAGAUCAUGAGGAAGACCAGUGGCGAAGGCGGGUCUCUGGACAGUUCCUGACACUGAGACACGAAGGCCAGGGGAGCAAACGGG